GGGUUGUGAGGUUAAGCGACUAAGCGUACACGGUGGAUGCCCUGGCAGUCAGAGGCGAUGAAGGACGUGCUAAUCUGCGAAAAGCGUCGGUAAGGUGAUAUGAACCGUUAUAACCGGCGAUGUCCGAAUGGGGAAACCCAGUGCAAUUCGUUGCACUAUCGUUAACUGAAUACAUAGGUUAACGAGGCGAACCGGGGGAACUGAAACAUCUAAGUACCCCGAGGAAAAGAAAUCAACCGAGAUUCCCCCAGUAGCGGCGAGCGAACGGGGAGCAGCCCAGAGUCUGAAUCAGCUUGUGUGUUAGUGGAACGGUCUGGAAAGUCCGACGGUACAGGGUGAUAGUCCCGUACACCAAAAUGCACAGGCUGUGAACUCGAAGAGUAGGGCGGGACACGUGGUAUCCUGUCUGAAUAUGGGGGGACCAUCCUCCAAGGCUAAAUACUCCUGACUGACCGAUAGUGAACCAGUACCGUGAGGGAAAGGCGAAAAGAACCCCGGCGAGGGGAGUGAAAAAGAACCUGAAACCGUGUACGUACAAGCAGUGGGAGCACCUUCGGGUGUGACUGCGUACCUUUUGUAUAAUGGGUCAGCGACUUAUAUUCUGUAGCAAGGUUAACCGUAUAGGGGAGCCGCAGGGAAACCGAGUCUUAACUGGGCGUUAAGUUGCAGGGUAUAGACCCGAAACCCGGUGAUCUAGCCAUGGGCAGGUUGAAGGUUGGGUAACACUAACUGGAGGACCGAACCGACUAAUGUUGAAAAAUUAGCGGAUGACUUGUGGCUGGGGGUGAAAGGCCAAUCAAACCGGGAGAUAGCUGGUUCUCCCCGAAAGCUAUUUAGGUAGCGCCUCGUGAAUUCAUCUUCGGGGGUAGAGCACUGUUUCGGCUAGGGGGUCAUCCCGACUUACCAACCCGAUGCAAACUACGAAUACCGAAGAAUGUUAUCACGGGAGACACACGGCGGGUGCUAACGUCCGUCGUGAAGAGGGAAACAACCCAGACCGCCAGCUAAGGUCCCAAAGUCAUGGUUAAGUGGGAAACGAUGUGGGAAGGCACAGACAGCCAGGAUGUUGGCUUAGAAGCAGCCAUCAUUUAAAGAAAGCGUAAUAGCUCACUGGUCGAGUCGGCCUGCGCGGAAGAUGUAACGGGGCUAAACCAUGCACCGAAGCUGCGGCAGCGACACUAUGUGUUGUUGGGUAGGGGAGCGUUCUGUAAGCCUGCGAAGGUGUGCUGUGAGGCAUGCUGGAGGUAUCAGAAGUGCGAAUGCUGACAUAAGUAACGAUAAAGCGGGUGAAAAGCCCGCUCGCCGGAAGACCAAGGGUUCCUGUCCAACGUUAAUCGGGGCAGGGUGAGUCGACCCCUAAGGCGAGGCCGAAAGGCGUAGUCGAUGGGAAACAGGUUAAUAUUCCUGUACUUGGUGUUACUGCGAAGGGGGGACGGAGAAGGCUAUGUUAGCCGGGCGACGGUUGUCCCGGUUUAAGCAUGUAGGCUGGUUGUCCAGGCAAAUCCGGAUAAUCAAGGCUGAGGUGUGAUGACGAGGCACUACGGUGCUGAAGUAACAAAUGCCCUGCUUCCAGGAAAAGCCUCUAAGCAUCAGGUAACAUCAAAUCGUACCCCAAACCGACACAGGUGGUCAGGUAGAGAAUACCAAGGCGCUUGAGAGAACUCGGGUGAAGGAACUAGGCAAAAUGGUGCCGUAACUUCGGGAGAAGGCACGCUGGUGUGUAGGUGAAGUCCCUGCGGAUGGAGCUGAGACCAGUCGAAGAUACCAGCUGGCUGCAACUGUUUAUUAAAAACACAGCACUGUGCAAACACGAAAGUGGACGUAUACGGUGUGACGCCUGCCCGGUGCCGGAAGGUUAAUUGAUGGGGUUAUCCGUAAGGAGAAGCUCUUGAUCGAAGCCCCGGUAAACGGCGGCCGUAACUAUAACGGUCCUAAGGUAGCGAAAUUCCUUGUCGGGUAAGUUCCGACCUGCACGAAUGGCGUAAUGAUGGCCAGGCUGUCUCCACCCGAGACUCAGUGAAAUUGAACUCGCUGUGAAGAUGCAGUGUACCCGCGGCAAGACGGAAAGACCCCGUGAACCUUUACUAUAGCUUGACACUGAACAUUGAGCCUUGAUGUGUAGGAUAGGUGGGAGGCUUUGAAGCGUGGACGCCAGUCUGCGUGGAGCCAACCUUGAAAUACCACCCUUUAAUGUUUGAUGUUCUAACGUUGGCCCCUUACCGGGGUUGCGGACAGUGUCUGGUGGGUAGUUUGACUGGGGCGGUCUCCUCCCAAAGCGUAACGGAGGAGCACGAAGGUUAGCUAAUCCUGGUCGGACAUCAGGAGGUUAGUGCAAUGGCAUAAGCUAGCUUGACUGCGAGCGUGACGGCGCGAGCAGGUGCGAAAGCAGGUCAUAGUGAUCCGGUGGUUCUGAAUGGAAGGGCCAUCGCUCAACGGAUAAAAGGUACUCCGGGGAUAACAGGCUGAUACCGCCCAAGAGUUCAUAUCGACGGCGGUGUUUGGCACCUCGAUGUCGGCUCAUCACAUCCUGGGGCUGAAGUAGGUCCCAAGGGUAUGGCUGUUCGCCAUUUAAAGUGGUACGCGAGCUGGGUUUAGAACGUCGUGAGACAGUUCGGUCCCUAUCUGCCGUGGGCGCUGGAGAAUUGAGGGGGGCUGCUCCUAGUACGAGAGGACCGGAGUGGACGCAUCACUGGUGUUCGGGUUGUCAUGCCAAUGGCACUGCCCGGUAGCUAAAUGCGGAAGAGAUAAGUGCUGAAAGCAUCUAAGCACGAAACUUGCCCCGAGAUGAGUUCUCCCUGAGACUAUAAGUCUCCUGAAGGAACGUUAAAGACGAUGACGUUGAUAGGCCGGGUGUGUAAGCGCAGCGAUGCGUUGAGCUAACCGGUACUAAUGAACCGUGAGGCUUAACCUUACAACGCCGAAG
Molecule: ribosomal RNA, 2923 nt
Filed under: Klebsiella pneumoniae
Lineage: Bacteria; Pseudomonadati; Pseudomonadota; Gammaproteobacteria; Enterobacterales; Enterobacteriaceae
Description: 23S ribosomal RNA
Rfam family: Bacterial large subunit ribosomal RNA
Source: RNAcentral